UUGGACAAUGGGCGCAAGCCUGAUCCAGCCAUGCCGCGUGAGUGAAGAAGGCCUUCGGGUUGUAAAGCUCUUUCAGUCGAGAAGAAAAAGCUGCAGUGAAUAACUGUAGUUCAUGACGGUAUCGACAGAAGAAGCACCGGCUAACUACGUGCCAGCAGCCGCGGUAAUAAGGGC
Molecule: ribosomal RNA, 174 nt
Filed under: uncultured bacterium
Lineage: Bacteria
Description: partial 16S ribosomal RNA
Rfam family: Bacterial small subunit ribosomal RNA
Source: RNAcentral